RNAcentral lists this transfer RNA (76 nucleotides) under Spratelloides delicatulus (delicate round herring). RNAcentral's name for it is "tRNA-Leu (UUR)". It matches the Rfam family "tRNA". Rfam says of the family: Transfer RNA (tRNA) molecules are approximately 80 nucleotides in length. The record is from RNAcentral. Lineage: Eukaryota; Metazoa; Chordata; Actinopteri; Clupeiformes; Clupeidae.
AGCUGGAGUGGCAGAGCCCGGUAAUUGCUAGGGUCCUAAGACCCCUCCUUCAGAGGUUCAAUUCCUCUCUCCAGCU